AGCGUACACGGUGGAUGCCCUGGCAGUCAGAGGCGAUGAAGGACGUGCUAAUCUGCGAAAAGCGUCGGUAAGGUGAUAUGAACCGUUAUAACCGGCGAUGUCCGAAUGGGGAAACCCAGUGCAAUUCGUUGCACUAUCGUUAACUGAAUACAUAGGUUAACGAGGCGAACCGGGGGAACUGAAACAUCUAAGUACCCCGAGGAAAAGAAAUCAACCGAGAUUCCCCCAGUAGCGGCGAGCGAACGGGGAGCAGCCCAGAGUCUGAAUCAGCUUGUGUGUUAGUGGAACGGUCUGGAAAGUCCGACGGUACAGGGUGAUAGUCCCGUACACCAAAAUGCACAGGUUGUGAACUCGAAGAGUAGGGCGGGACACGUGGUAUCCUGUCUGAAUAUGGGGGGACCAUCCUCCAAGGCUAAAUACUCCUGACUGACCGAUAGUGAACCAGUACCGUGAGGGAAAGGCGAAAAGAACCCCGGCGAGGGGAGUGAAAAAGAACCUGAAACCGUGUACGUACAAGCAGUGGGAGCACCUUCGGGUGUGACUGCGUACCUUUUGUAUAAUGGGUCAGCGACUUAUAUUCUGUAGCAAGGUUAACCGUAUAGGGGAGCCGCAGGGAAACCGAGUCUUAACUGGGCGUUAAGUUGCAGGGUAUAGACCCGAAACCCGGUGAUCUAGCCAUGGGCAGGUUGAAGGUUGGGUAACACUAACUGGAGGACCGAACCGACUAAUGUUGAAAAAUUAGCGGAUGACUUGUGGCUGGGGGUGAAAGGCCAAUCAAACCGGGAGAUAGCUGGUUCUCCCCGAAAGCUAUUUAGGUAGCGCCUCGUGAAUUCAUCUUCGGGGGUAGAGCACUGUUUCGGCUAGGGGGUCAUCCCGACUUACCAACCCGAUGCAAACUACGAAUACCGAAGAAUGUUAUCACGGGAGACACACGGCGGGUGCUAACGUCCGUCGUGAAGAGGGAAACAACCCAGACCGCCAGCUAAGGUCCCAAAGUCAUGGUUAAGUGGGAAACGAUGUGGGAAGGCACAGACAGCCAGGAUGUUGGCUUAGAAGCAGCCAUCAUUUAAAGAAAGCGUAAUAGCUCACUGGUCGAGUCGGCCUGCGCGGAAGAUGUAACGGGGCUAAACCAUGCACCGAAGCUGCGGCAGCGACACUAUGUGUUGUUGGGUAGGGGAGCGUUCUGUAAGCCUGCGAAGGUGACCUGUGAGGGUUGCUGGAGGUAUCAGAAGUGCGAAUGCUGACAUAAGUAACGAUAAAGCGGGUGAAAAGCCCGCUCGCCGGAAGACCAAGGGUUCCUGUCCAACGUUAAUCGGGGCAGGGUGAGUCGACCCCUAAGGCGAGGCCGAAAGGCGUAGUCGAUGGGAAACAGGUUAAUAUUCCUGUACUUGGUGUUACUGCGAAGGGGGGACGGAGAAGGCUAUGUUAGCCGGGCGACGGUUGUCCCGGUUUAAGCAUGUAGGCUGAUUGUCCAGGCAAAUCCGGAUAAUCAAGGCUGAGGUGUGAUGACGAGGCACUACGGUGCUGAAGUAACAAAUGCCCUGCUUCCAGGAAAAGCCUCUAAGCAUCAGGUAACAUCAAAUCGUACCCCAAACCGACACAGGUGGUCAGGUAGAGAAUACCAAGGCGCUUGAGAGAACUCGGGUGAAGGAACUAGGCAAAAUGGUGCCGUAACUUCGGGAGAAGGCACGCUGGUGUGUAGGUGAAGUCCCUGCGGAUGGAGCUGAGACCAGUCGAAGAUACCAGCUGGCUGCAACUGUUUAUUAAAAACACAGCACUGUGCAAACACGAAAGUGGACGUAUACGGUGUGACGCCUGCCCGGUGCCGGAAGGUUAAUUGAUGGGGUUAUCCGUAAGGAGAAGCUCUUGAUCGAAGCCCCGGUAAACGGCGGCCGUAACUAUAACGGUCCUAAGGUAGCGAAAUUCCUUGUCGGGUAAGUUCCGACCUGCACGAAUGGCGUAAUGAUGGCCAGGCUGUCUCCACCCGAGACUCAGUGAAAUUGAACUCGCUGUGAAGAUGCAGUGUACCCGCGGCAAGACGGAAAGACCCCGUGAACCUUUACUAUAGCUUGACACUGAACAUUGAGCCUUGAUGUGUAGGAUAGGUGGGAGGCUUUGAAGCGUGGACGCCAGUCUGCGUGGAGCCAACCUUGAAAUACCACCCUUUAAUGUUUGAUGUUCUAACGUUGGCCCCUUACCGGGGUUGCGGACAGUGUCUGGUGGGUAGUUUGACUGGGGCGGUCUCCUCCCAAAGCGUAACGGAGGAGCACGAAGGUUAGCUAAUCCUGGUCGGACAUCAGGAGGUUAGUGCAAUGGCAUAAGCUAGCUUGACUGCGAGCGUGACGGCGCGAGCAGGUGCGAAAGCAGGUCAUAGUGAUCCGGUGGUUCUGAAUGGAAGGGCCAUCGCUCAACGGAUAAAAGGUACUCCGGGGAUAACAGGCUGAUACCGCCCAAGAGUUCAUAUCGACGGCGGUGUUUGGCACCUCGAUGUCGGCUCAUCACAUCCUGGGGCUGAAGUAGGUCCCAAGGGUAUGGCUGUUCGCCAUUUAAAGUGGUACGCGAGCUGGGUUUAGAACGUCGUGAGACAGUUCGGUCCCUAUCUGCCGUGGGCGCUGGAGAAUUGAGGGGGGCUGCUCCUAGUACGAGAGGACCGGAGUGGACGCAUCACUGGUGUUCGGGUUGUCAUGCCAAUGGCACUGCCCGGUAGCUAAAUGCGGAAGAGAUAAGUGCUGAAAGCAUCUAAGCACGAAACUUGCCCCGAGAUGAGUUCU
Molecule: ribosomal RNA, 2771 nt
Filed under: Klebsiella pneumoniae
Lineage: Bacteria; Pseudomonadati; Pseudomonadota; Gammaproteobacteria; Enterobacterales; Enterobacteriaceae
Description: bacterial LSU rRNA
Rfam family: Bacterial large subunit ribosomal RNA
Source: RNAcentral